CCUCCCAUCUGAGAGAGCUGGACUUUAGCUACAAUAAUCCAGGAGACUCAGGAGUGAAGCUACUGUCAGCGGGCUUGAAGGAUCCACUCUGGAGACUGGACACACUCAGAGUGGAGCCUGCUGGAGUCAGAUGGUUGACACCAGGUCUGAGGAAAUAUUCCUGUGAACUCACAUUCGACACAAACACAGUG
This is a long non-coding RNA of Perca flavescens (yellow perch), 191 nucleotides long. RefSeq lists it as uncharacterized. Lineage: Eukaryota; Metazoa; Chordata; Actinopteri; Perciformes; Percidae. The transcript is spliced from 3 exons. The record is from RefSeq and is a predicted model, not a curated record.